This 126-nucleotide ribosomal RNA is filed under the name Paenibacillus flagellatus. RNAcentral describes it as "Paenibacillus sp. DXL2 partial 16S ribosomal RNA". It matches the Rfam family "Bacterial small subunit ribosomal RNA", at positions 1416 to 1533 of the family's 1533-position model. Lineage: Bacteria; Bacillati; Bacillota; Bacilli; Caryophanales; Paenibacillaceae. The record is from RNAcentral.
AACACCCGAAGUCGGUGAGGUAACCGCAAGGGGCCAGCCGCCGAAGGUGGGGUAGAUGAUUGGGGUGAAGUCGUAACAAGGUAGCCGUAUCGGAAGGUGCGGCUGGAUCACCUCCUUUCUAUGGAG